Molecule: ribosomal RNA, 508 nt
Filed under: uncultured bacterium
Lineage: Bacteria
Description: bacterial SSU rRNA
Rfam family: Bacterial small subunit ribosomal RNA
Source: RNAcentral
GACGAACGCUGGCGGCGUGCCUAAUACAUGCAAGUCGAACGAGAAAUUCUUACACCGGAUGAUUGCAUCCACCGUAAGAUUUCGAGUGGCGGACGGGUGAGUAACACGUGGGUAACCUGCCCAAAAGAAGGGGAUAACAUUUGGAAACAAGUGCUAAUACCGUAUAACCAUGAUGACCGCAUGGUCAUGAUGUAAAAGGUGGUUUUGCUAUCGCUUUUGGAUGGACCCGCGGCGUAUUAACUAGUUGGUAAGGUAACGGCUUACCAAGGUGAUGAUACGUAGCCGAACUGAGAGGUUGAUCGGCCACAAUGGGACUGAGACACGGCCCAUACUCCUACGGGAGGCAGCAGUAGGGAAUUUUCCGCAAUGGGCGAAAGCCUGACGGAGCAAUGCCGCGUGAGUGAAGAAGGGCAAUGCCGCUUGUAAAGCUCUUUCGUCGAGUGCGCGAUCAUGACAGGACUCGAGGAAGAAGCCCCGGCUAACUCCGUGCCAGCCGCCGCCGUAACAC